Molecule: ribosomal RNA, 411 nt
Filed under: uncultured bacterium
Lineage: Bacteria
Description: bacterial SSU rRNA
Rfam family: Bacterial small subunit ribosomal RNA
Source: RNAcentral
GAACGAGAAAGUGGAGCAAUCCAUGAGUAAAGUGGCGACCGGGUGAGUAACACGUGACUAACCUACCUCCGAGUGGGGAAUAACUCCGGGAAACCGGGGCUAAUACCGCAUAACAUCGCGAGAUCAAAGCAGCAAUGCGCUUGGAGAGGGGGUCGCGGCUGAUUAGCUAGUUGGCGGGGUAACGGCCCACCAAGGCGAAGAUCGGUAUCCGGCCUGAGAGGGCGCACGGACACACUGGAACUGAAACACGGUCCAGACUCCUACGGGAGGCAGCAGUGGGGAAUUUUGCGCAAUGGGGGAAACCCUGACGCAGCAACGCCGCGUGGAGGAUGAAGCCCUUUGGGGCGUAAACUCCUUUCGACCAAGACGAUAAUGACGGUACUGGUGGAAGAAGCACCGGCUAACUCUGUG